This 426-nucleotide ribosomal RNA is filed under the name uncultured bacterium. RNAcentral describes it as "bacterial SSU rRNA". It matches the Rfam family "Bacterial small subunit ribosomal RNA", at positions 356 to 773 of the family's 1533-position model. The record is from RNAcentral.
AGGGAAUCUUCCGCAAUGGACGAAAGUCUGACGGAGCAACGCCGCGUGAGUGAUGAAGGUUUUCGGAUCGUAAAACUCUGUUGUUAGGGAAGAACAAGUACCGUUCGAAUAGGGCGGUACCUUGACGGUACCUAACCAGAAAGCCACGGCUAACUACGUGCCAGCAGCCGCGGUAAUACGUAGGUGGCAAGCGUUGUCCGGAAUUAUUGGGCGUAAAGCGCGCGCAGGCGGUUUCUUAAGUCUGAUGUGAAAGCCCACGGCUCAACCGUGGAGGGUCAUUGGAAACUGGAAGACUUGAGUGCAGAAGAGGAGAGUGGAAUUCCACGUGUAGCGGUGAAAUGCGUAGAGAUGUGGAGGAACACCAGUGGCGAAGGCGGCUCACUGGCUCGAUACUGACGCUGAGGUGCGAAAGCGUGGGGAGCAAAC